RNAcentral lists this long non-coding RNA (268 nucleotides) under Capsicum annuum. RNAcentral describes it as "long non-coding RNA (CANN_LNC004433)". Lineage: Eukaryota; Viridiplantae; Streptophyta; Magnoliopsida; Solanales; Solanaceae. The record is from RNAcentral.
GAUUUCCACCAACACGGGCUGCUUCCAGUUGUUGCUUCAAAUCGGCAACUUCCUCUUGCAAAGCGGACUGCCCCAACAUCACCUCGGACAGUUUUGACCCAAACUCCUCGUGUAGCGCUGAUAAUGCUUCCGUGAGCUUGAGUUCCAAGCUGGUCAGCCCCUUCUUGUGCUCUUCAUUUUGCUCGGACAAGUCAGCUUUGACUUCGUCCAGCCCUUCAAGAGCAGCAGCCUCAAGGGUACCAACGUUGGACUCAAGGGUCUCGAAGCG